This 253-nucleotide ribosomal RNA is filed under the name uncultured bacterium. RNAcentral describes it as "partial 16S ribosomal RNA". It matches the Rfam family "Bacterial small subunit ribosomal RNA", at positions 524 to 776 of the family's 1533-position model. The record is from RNAcentral.
UACGUAGGUGGCAAGCGUUAUCCGGAUUUAUUGGGUGUAAAGGGCGUGUAGGCGGUCUUUUAAGUCUGAUGUGAAAGCCUUCGGCUUAACCGGAGUAGUGCAUUGGAAACUGGGAGACUUGAGUGCAGAAGAGGAGAGUGGAACUCCAUGUGUAGCGGUGAAAUGCGUAGAUAUAUGGAAGAACACCAGUGGCGAAAGCGGCUCUCUGGUCUGUAACUGACGCUGAGGUACGAAAGCGUGGGGAGCAAACAGG